ACCGGAAAGGACGGACCGAUGGUGAACCAGUUGCAGUGCCAACUGCACGGCUGGGAAGCCAAGUCCGGGAGUGAUAAACGCUGAAAGCAUCUAAGCGUGAAGCACGCCUCAAGAUAAGAUUUCCCAUACCGUAAAGGUAGUAAGACCCCUCGAAGAAGACGAGGUAGAUAGGCUUAAGGUGUAAGAGCAGAAAUGCUUUAAGCUGGUAAGUACUAAUAGGUCGAGGCCUUGACCU
Molecule: ribosomal RNA, 235 nt
Filed under: Caldanaerobius fijiensis DSM 17918
Lineage: Bacteria; Bacillati; Bacillota; Clostridia; Thermoanaerobacterales; Thermoanaerobacteraceae
Description: 23S rRNA. Bacterial LSU
Rfam family: Bacterial large subunit ribosomal RNA
Source: RNAcentral